AUGGCUCAGGAUGAACGCUGGCGGCGUGCUUAACACAUGCAAGUCGAACGAAGAUGCCGGAGUGCUUGCACUUUGGCAGACUGAGUGGCGGACGGGUGAGUAACGCGUGGGUAACCUGCCUUAUACAGGGGGAUAACAGUUGGAAACGACUGCUAAUACCGCAUAAGCGCACGGUAUUGCAUGAUACAGUGUGAAAAACUCCGGUGGUAUAAGAUGGACCCGCGUCUGAUUAGCUAGUUGGUGAGGUAACGGCCCACCAAGGCGACGAUCAGUAGCCGGCCUGAGAGGGUGAACGGCCACAUUGGGACUGAGACACGGGCCCAAACUCCUACGGGAGGCAGCAGUGGGGAAUAUUGCACAAUGGGGGAAACCCUGAUGCAGCGACGCCGCGUGAGUGAUGAAGUAUUUCGGUAUGUAAAACUCUAUCAGCAGGGAAGAUAAUGACGGUACCUGACUAAGAAGCACCGGCUAAAUACGUG
This 479-nucleotide ribosomal RNA is filed under the name uncultured bacterium. RNAcentral's name for it is "bacterial SSU rRNA". It matches the Rfam family "Bacterial small subunit ribosomal RNA", at positions 19 to 507 of the family's 1533-position model. The record is from RNAcentral.